UCAUCUCAUGUGUUACCUGCACCUAUCCAGCCCCAGUGUUCUUUGUGAUUCCUUCUUGUGUUCCCUGUGGUUCCCUAGUGUUCUCAGUUGGACUAUUUUGGAUUUAAUUUUCUUGGCCUUUUUAAGUCGUAUCUGACCCCGGUCAGAGAUGAAGAAGCAGAAUCUCAAAGGAAAGCCAAGUCUCGUCAUGCUAGACAGACCCGCAGGUCGACACAGGGUGUGACUCUGACAGACCUGAAAGAGGCUCAGAAGACCAUCAGCCUGCCUCCUCAUGACAGGCAGAUGGAAGAAGGAGGGAUUCUGGAUGAAAGAUCCUGUUUGAGGAAAAGCUCUGCAGAUGACAAGAGAGUCAGAACUGACAUGACAGAGCCCACGGGAGCAACGGAGAUCAGUCGGAAGUGGAGCAAAAUGGACGAGGAAGGGAACAUUGACACCAGGUUAGAAACAGUUGCUGAGGGCCCAGCUUCAAACCUUUCUUAUUCUUCAGCUGCUGAGUCCUGUGGCCUGACAUACUGCAAUGAUACCUUCAGAGUCGGUGAGAGAUGGUGGAGAGAUGAGAAUCAGAACCCUGUUGAUGAAACAGCACAGCCCAACUUUACAACAAAGCAGCAACAGAGGCGGAGCUGCUGGGAUGCUGAAGGAUCAGACUUCAACUCUUCAGAGCAUGACAGAUUGUCAAGAUAUGACUCCAGUGGUGAAAGUGCUACAGACAAACCAGUGGGCCGUACCAGUUCCUACUCGAAGAGAGAGACAAGGCUGGGCGCUCUUAACAGACAGGAGGAGGACUCAACCACCAAAGACUAUAAGAAGAUGUAUGCAGAAGCUUUGCAUGAGAACGAGAGGCUCAAGUCCAGGUUGCAGGAUAGCAAACAAGAGCUCAUCAAGAUACGCUCCCAGCUGGACAAAGUUACCCAGAGGCAUGAAAGAAUAUCAGAGAGAUCUUCAGUACUUGAUACGGAGAAGAGGGAAAAACAAGCUCUUGAGAAAAGAGUGUCAAACAUGGAGGAGGACAUGAAGGUCGGUGCACACAAAAAUAAACUGCUCACACACAUUGGAUAUAAAUGGCACAUUUUUCCUGUAAUACAAGCGACUUGUCAUUUAUUUGGUUGAUGAUUCUCCAGACCCAUAAAAACACUAACAGUAUUUGAAAAAAUACACCUCCAGCCAGGCCCAUCUCACUCGUGCUAAAUCAAGCACGCCUAAAGUGUUUUUACAGAGCAAAAGACACACAUGUAGCCCACCCCAGGGCUUUUGGUUUGCCAGGUGGAUUUGGAGUCAAGGAGAAAGGGAAGGUUAAUGCUUCAGGCUCAUUACCCACAGUAUUCUGCUGGGCCACUUCCUGCCAGGCUAAGGAGGAGCCUGUACUGUUCCUCUGCUCCACUUAUCCCACUGUUGGGGUGAACACUGUGACCUAGUUCCAGCUGAAUACCGAACCCCGUUCCAAGAGCAAAGACCUGCUUUUGUGAGACAUUCCUUCACUGCACUGUGUGUAUUCUGCCUCUCAGAGAGACACAGGGCAGAGCAGCAGAGAAAGGCCCGAGGAGAAGUGAUGUGGACUCUACGUGUUCUGAAAGCAGUUACAAAUUAAUGAGACUAUAAUUUGAUUGUAAGAGUAACAUUGUUAUGCUCCCCAAGAGGAAUAAAAUCCCGGCUCCAGUGUAAGAAAAUACAACAUGCAGUCAGUGAUGACAUCCUUAUAAAUAUAACACAUGCAAAAGUAUGGUAUGACAGCAACAGAUGUUUGAUGUGUUGUCGCGGUUCCCUCAGCAGGGUGCCCCAGUGCGGUUCCGCUGUGGGUAUCAGCCCUGAGAGCAGGCUGUCUCAGGGGAGGGGGGAUGAUCUUAACAGAGCUCAAGUCAGACAACCAGAGGCUAAAGGAUGAGAACGGGGCUCUCAUUCGGGUCAUCAGCAAACUGUCCAAAUGAAAAGAUGUCUGAAGCUCCUGCUCUGUGUUUGUGGACGCUCUAACACUGACAUGGCAGCUUAAUUACCCAUAACAUGACUACUGUCAUAUGAGUUAUGGUGAUGAGCUGCCCUGGGCCUGUUGGGACUUGUGAAUAUCCAAGAGAUGUGUUCUGAAGUUUCAGUCAAAUAUCUGCCCUGAGUGCUGCAGACUCACAACAGUUUGAACUUGGUUAGUUACAAGUAUGUUGCAUCAUGAAGUAUUUCACAGGGGACCAUUUAUACUGUUUGAGAAAGGCCCAGUUUGACAAAUGUAGAGGUUUGCAUGAAGGUAUUGUUUCCAAUAUUACACCUACACUUCGCACUUAGACUUCACAUUUGUUGCAACAUCAUGCACUGCAGAAAAUAUCUUUAUAUGCUCGUAGUUAUGCAAAAAUAAAGUAGAAAUGUAUGUCAUUAUUAUUUUUGCAAAUGUGUUACGUCAUGUUUUUUGGCUUGAAAUAUGUCAAGCAAAUAUUAACCCAAUUAAGAACCAAACAGGCAUCAGAGUAAGAACGAGCAUUCAUCCUAAGUGCUUUAAGAUGCACUGAUUUCUUAACUACAAGUUUUACGCUUUGAUACAUAUAAGAAAUAUCUCAGGUUUUUCACUCGGCUGUGCCUGGUCAUGCUUCUAAAAUUUCAAUUCUGUGAACUUAUGAACCAAGUCAGGAGAAAAACAUGAAUAUUUCUGACUUUGGUCUGCAGUCCAAGAGUCAGUGCCCCGGGAGAAAGUCUAACAUAUUGCAUAACAGCAAAGCUGCCAACCAUUUCCAAGUGGUUAGAUUUUUGGUGAUAUUUCAGUCAAACCUCUAUCUUUUUUUUUCUAUCAUAUUUGGGUUCAUCUAACAUAUAAUGAUGUCCCGGGUGUAUUUUGUGUUUGAAGUGGACCAUAUGUUCGACCUAAAAGGCAGAGCUGAGUCAUACACACUCUGUACAGAGUAGAAGGUGCUGCACUCCAGCAUCACUAGCAGAAUGUAAAAUAUUUUAGUGUUUGCCAGAUUUUGGUUCUUCAGUUCUCUGUUUUUGUUUGAGCCACUCUUCAGUUUUUCUUCAGUAAGCACUUCAUGGAGACUUUAUCAGCGGCUCAGCUUCGGAUCACCUGAGCGGCAACACAGAGGAGGCCGUCUAUGUAUGUGUGUGUGUGUGUGUGUUUGUGUUUGGAAGAAAUUUCCUGUGAUAUCUUUUUGUUAAAGAGAUUUAUUUAUUUAUUUAUGCAUUUCUUAGUUUUAAUCUUUAUACCUUGUGUACUUAAUUUCCAAGUCAUACACAGAUAACUUUUCUUGCCGUCUUUCUGUGAGGCGAUGAAAACACGAAUCCCCCACUAACAGAUGUGCUGUAAAAUCACUGCUGACAUUUUAUCCUGCACAAUAUUGUGUGAUCUUAUUAACUUACUCAAAUGUUUUAUGAAAUAAACUGUUGCUGGCACUUUUCAUUACAUGAGGUGUAGAUUACCUGAAGAUGAACUUGGUGGUGUUAUUAGUAUAAUAAUGUUAAAGUGAAUAACUUUAUUUUAAUUAUGGACCAGAAACACUAGAUAGGCAGUUCAUUAGGUACACAUGCAAUCUGAUAGGACAGCAAUAAAUCCUAACUUCAUUGCACUUAUCAGCUUUCUGUUCUUGCCCUUUAAGAGGCUGCAGCUGCACAGUAUUACAUUUAAGAGAAAUAUAUCUUCAAAUGACUCUUUGGUCAACGUAUAAGAAACUCUCUGCACAAGGCCGCUACCUUGUUGAGGUUUUUUAAGGAGGUCAAGGCAACUUUAUAAUUUUCUACUUGGCCACAUUUGUCUGAAGAGCACAGAAGAUGAUUUAUCUGUGUAACAUUUUGUGUGUAAUCUUUGGCAUAUAGGGUUUAUUUUUUUGCUGAAUAAAGGGUGUCUUAUGAGUUUGUUUUUAGCAGGGCACAUUAUUCAAACCAGACACAAAAAUGUAUUUUAAAAAAUCAUUAAUUCAGUCAAUCUAAUCCACAACAGAUAAAACCAUCCCCUAGAGGCAAAGCCUGUUUUUAUAUAUCUUAUCAUAUUUGAAGUAGCAGACAGCGAAAAUUCCUUUAGCUGUAGUGUUGCUGCAACAGAUAAAUGGUGUGUCUAAGAUGUAAAUGACUUCAGUACCUGCCUUCUUUCACUUAACAGCUGUAUUGUCCACAGUGUUCGCUGUAUUUCUUUUACACUGGCUGUUUUCGAAACGGCCUGCUAAAUACUACCUACUAAUGUAGUAGACAGUAGGUACUGCCUACUACAUACUGCGUUUGAAUUUAGUAUGUAAUAUGACUACUCUGUUCGAUCUGUGUUGCAGUAUGCUGGGCCAGACGUCACUGAAUUUCCGGUUUCGGAAUGCAGAAGUAAAAAACAGCCAAGCUGAUUGCAAAACUGCUUCUUUAGCAUUCACUUAGGAUUUAAAAAGUUAGGAAGUGGCUUAUAUGGAAUUAAAUAAUUUCCACAGCACCUAAAAACUGAGUUCCCCUCGUCAAAAUAAGAAGAAAAAAAAGAAAAAGCAGAGCGCUGUGCAUUGUGGGAAACAGUACGCAAGGCAGACUGGUCCGAUGCAUACUGUGAAAUUUUCCAGAAUCAGUAGACAUCCGGGGAGUUUUGGCAUACUGCAGAUUUUGCUCUUGUUCACAUACUACUUACUACAUACUGAAUUUUGGCCAAAUCAGUACCUACUGCUAGUAUAGUAGGCGGUUUUGAAAACAGCCAAUGUGAUGGUUUAGAGUCCAAACAUGGCAACACCAGUGUUCUUUUUGAUCACACUCAAAGCUACAAUCAGGGUAAGGUAUGUGCUGCAGAUGUAUUGAACUAUGCAAUAUCUUGUGUUGUACUGUUUGUAAUGAGUUUAUAAUAGCUUCAUACACACACAGGUUUACUCACUUUGCUUAAUAAACUGUAAAGGAGUGAU
Notolabrus celidotus (New Zealand spotty) is the source of this 4832-nucleotide RNA transcript. It is a transcript of the gene named protein phosphatase 1 regulatory subunit 12B-like, with no coding region annotated. NCBI's taxonomy places the organism in Eukaryota, Metazoa, Chordata, Actinopteri, Labriformes, Labridae. The transcript has 11 exons. The record is from RefSeq and is a predicted model, not a curated record.